This 379-nucleotide RNase P RNA is filed under the name Alcanivorax sp. RNAcentral's name for it is "RNase P RNA component class A". It matches the Rfam family "Bacterial RNase P class A". Rfam says of the family: Ribonuclease P (RNase P) is a ubiquitous endoribonuclease, found in archaea, bacteria and eukarya as well as chloroplasts and mitochondria. Its best characterised activity is the generation of mature 5'-ends of tRNAs by cleaving the 5'-leader elements of precursor-tRNAs. The record is from RNAcentral. Lineage: Bacteria; Pseudomonadati; Pseudomonadota; Gammaproteobacteria; Oceanospirillales; Alcanivoracaceae. RNAcentral also lists the same sequence under 1 other name.
CGAAGAAAUCGGAUGGCCGCUUGCGUUUUUGCGUGAGAGGAAAGUCCGGGCUUCACGGGAAAGCGGCGCCGGAUAACGUCCGGACAGGGCCUUUGGGCUUUGAUGGAAAGUGCUGAAGAAAUUUAAACUACCUCUUUUUCGGAAGGGGAAAAGGUGAGAAGGUGCGGUAAGAGCGCACCGCGAAGUCGGUAACGGCUUUGGCAAAGGCAAACCCCGCCGGAAGCAAGACCAAAUAGGAACCUCGCGCCCUUUGGGCAGGUGUUUUUCCGCAUCGAUGGUUCGGGUAGGUCGCAUGAAAGGUUUGGUAACAAAUCUUCCAGAUGAAUGGUCAUCACCUGCUUUGCAGGGACAGAACCCGGCUUAUAGAUUUCUUCGACUA